CUGCUCUGUCUUUCUUUCUGCUUUCUAAGCCGCAAGAUGACGUAAUUUGUGACGUACGGCAUUCCAUAAAAAAACUAGCUUUGGUUCCAUAAAGUAAAUUUAUAUCACUUAGUCAUCAACGUUCGUCUUUGAAACGGAGAUACAUUUUCAAGAUAAAAAUUUGAACGACGAAAAUUAUAGAAAUUAAGGUAUUUCCUGAUUCUUGGAUGAAUACGAAACUGAAUAGCCAGGUUCCAUUUGCACUUCCUGUUGCAGAAAAAAAAAAACCGAGUCAGCGAGAGCUCCCUUCUAUGGUUUAUUCCAGACUUUCCUUCUGGAUAAUUGUGAUCUAAUUCCUUAAAACAAUGGUUCUACGUAACGCAGCCAGGUGAAUCGAAUGGUCUUUUUAUGCUUAGUGACAUCUAUUUGAAGGUUUACUAAAUUUUGAGAAACGCUUGUCAGGACACAAGACUGAAAAAGACGUACUGAAAAACUGCCUGUAAACACAGCUAUCAUUAAAGUCAAUGGAUUACCUAGGAACAUCCAAGCAAUAUGAUAUCAGAGACUUGCAAUUUUUAUCACUGAAUGUGGCAAAAAAACCUGA
Long non-coding RNA from Saccostrea cuccullata (small rock oyster), 583 nucleotides. RefSeq lists it as uncharacterized. The record is from RefSeq and is a predicted model, not a curated record. The transcript has 3 exons. NCBI's taxonomy places the organism in Eukaryota, Metazoa, Mollusca, Bivalvia, Ostreida, Ostreidae.